RNAcentral lists this ribosomal RNA (353 nucleotides) under uncultured bacterium. RNAcentral's name for it is "bacterial SSU rRNA". It matches the Rfam family "Bacterial small subunit ribosomal RNA", at positions 917 to 1271 of the family's 1533-position model. The record is from RNAcentral.
GGGCCCGCACAAGCGGUGGAGUAUGUGGUUUAAUUCGAUGCAACGCGAAGAACCUUACCAGGGUUUGACAUCCUGCGAAUCUCUUGGAAACGAGAGAGUGCCUUCGGGAACGCAGUGACAGGUGGUGCAUGGCUGUCGUCAGCUCGUGUCGUGAGAUGUUGGGUUAAGUCCCGCAACGAGCGCAACCCACGUCUUUAGUUGCCAGCAUUUAGUUGGGCACUCUAGAGAGACUGCCGGUGAUAAACCGGAGGAAGGUGUGGAUGACGUCAAGUCAUCAUGCCCCUUACAUCCUGGGCUACACACGUGCUACAAUGGUCGGUACAGAGAGCAGCCACUACGCGAGUAGGAGCGAA